AAAGGGAAAGGAUAAUAGACAUUGGUAUUCAGUGUGAUCGAUGGAGAAGAGUUAAAGAAGCUACUGGGAUUGAAAAGGACGAGAAAAUGAUGGAAAUAUUGAUCGAUGCAACUACUUCUGAACUAGAGAGCUUCAACAAUCAUCUUUUGAUACGCUCCAAACCAAAGCGAAAUGCUUUCAGCUGUGCAGGUGUCAGUUAGCAGCAAUAGAUUAUUCAAAACACUUGAAUCGUCCUGUUUUGUUGGACAAAGAAGGAAAUGAGAGGAGAAAAAAGGUGUACUCAAAAGCUGCUUGUAAUUGGAGCACAAGGCCUGUGAAAAAAACAUACAUAACCGGUUUGAUCACUGAAGUUAUAAAUGAAUUCACCAUAGGCAAGAAAAGAAUAAGUGGCAAAUGUGAACAGCUGCCUGAAGACUCCAAAAGAAUUAGGUCAACUAUAGCCCCCGUCACCCCUCCACCUACAUCAAUACUUGGAGAUCAGCAUGUCUCUAGAUUGAGAAAAGCGAAAAAAUGAAUUGUUGCCCAAGACGUGUUUGAUAUUCAUUUGAAGUUGACGCAGAAGUUAUCUUUGUUAGAUAACUAUUAAGUUUCACAUCUUUAGUGUAAAUAUAAUUUUAGAAGUGUUUUGAAAAUGUA
Long non-coding RNA from Dreissena polymorpha, 636 nucleotides. RefSeq lists it as uncharacterized. Lineage: Eukaryota; Metazoa; Mollusca; Bivalvia; Myida; Dreissenidae. The record is from RefSeq and is a predicted model, not a curated record. The transcript is spliced from 4 exons.